Molecule: long non-coding RNA, 359 nt
Organism: Archocentrus centrarchus (flier cichlid)
Lineage: Eukaryota; Metazoa; Chordata; Actinopteri; Cichliformes; Cichlidae
Exons: 3
Source: RefSeq, a predicted model, not a curated record
UGUGUUUGUGUCUAAAAGCUGAGCGCCUCCAUUUGCUCUGUUGCAGAUGCUCAACCUGUAGCUUCUUGUCUGCAGAAUAUCUGUGAAAAGAAGAGGAGACAACAGACGGAGAAGAUGAUCUGCAGGAUCCUGCUGCUCCUCAUCCUCACCUCAUGUGUCUCUGGAUCAUUUGUAGUCAAUGUGACACAGACCUCCUAUCAGGCAGAGGAGAACCACAAGAUCACACUGGAGUGGACGUUCACCACCAAACCUGACAGAUCCUCUAAAGCUGCUGAUGAGCCCAAACAUCAAACUCCAACAGUGAACCCACAGACUGAGAGUCGAGGCCUCUAUGCUGCUUUCAUACUAACAUCAGCUGC